CCUAGACGAGUUAAUUUAACUCCAUAAACA
RNAcentral lists this transfer RNA (30 nucleotides) under Mammut americanum (American mastodon). RNAcentral describes it as "partial tRNA-Phe". The record is from RNAcentral. Lineage: Eukaryota; Metazoa; Chordata; Mammalia; Proboscidea; Mammutidae.